This 254-nucleotide ribosomal RNA is filed under the name uncultured bacterium. RNAcentral describes it as "partial 16S ribosomal RNA". It matches the Rfam family "Bacterial small subunit ribosomal RNA", at positions 524 to 776 of the family's 1533-position model. The record is from RNAcentral.
UACGUAGGGGGCUAGCGUUGUCCGGAUUUAUUGGGCGUAAAGAGCUCGUAGGUGGUUCGGUAAGUCGGAUGUGAAAUCUCCAGGCUCAACCUGGAGGGGUCAUUCGAUACUGCCGUGACUAGAGUUCGGUAGAGGAGUGUGGAAUUCCUGGUGGAGCGGUGAAAUGCGUAGAUAUCCGGAGGAACACCGGUGGCGAAGGCGGCUUCCUGGACCGACACUGACGCUGAGGCGCGAAAGCUAGGGGAGCAAACGGG